Molecule: transfer RNA, 68 nt
Filed under: Heliornis fulica (sungrebe)
Lineage: Eukaryota; Metazoa; Chordata; Aves; Gruiformes; Heliornithidae
Description: tRNA-Arg
Rfam family: tRNA
About the family: Transfer RNA (tRNA) molecules are approximately 80 nucleotides in length.
Source: RNAcentral
AGAGGGUUAGUUUAACAAAAACAGUUGAUUUCGACUCAGCAAACCACAGGCAACCCUGUGACCCUCUU